AUGAUUCCUUCAAUUUAUUUUUCUAGCUUUUCCCUACACGAGAUCAAAAUCCCCCGCUGUCACAGGUGUGUGCUGCUCACUCUGUUCAGUGUGACAGUCCAACAAGCCAAGCUGAACUCUGCUGUCAUGGAAUCUGAUUGCAAAUCUCCCUUGAACAUGGAUCUGAGAGUGUGCCAUAAAAAAAGAAAGCAACCUUUUUACAUAAUAAAAUCAUAAUAAAGUGCAUUUAUGCUUUUUUUGCAGUCAUGCCUGGGUUUGGAAUGAAUAUGACCACAUCAAUGAAAGUAUUCUAAGCAGUUUUUGACUACUAGAAACCAAAAGAUGGACUAUCUAUUAAUCUGAAUACCACAGAACAAAAUGGUAGUUAAUGUUGCAGGUAUGAAUUCCAGUCUCACUUCUGAGAAGGAAACAAAGUGUGUAUUAUUAGGGGGUCGUAUGCUGUGUUGUUGCCUGUCCCUCCUUUCCCCCUCACCAUAGACACACAGAUUUUUGCAAUACUAGUCCUUCACAGAUUUUUGACUGUUGCUUUGAUUUUUGGUACAUAGCCAGCUCAAGUUAAAAUGAGGACAGAAAGAAGGGAAGGAUGUCUGUGAUAUCUCAAGGAUUUUUGAAAUCAAAGUAGAUAGCCAGAUUCAGACUAGUUCAAAGAGCUGGAAAGGACUGUCGCUGAUUCUGCAGCCCGAACUGCUGAAUGUCAGGCAGUCCUUUAUCAACCAUCUGGCCUAUCCAGGACUUUCCUCC
This 741-nucleotide long non-coding RNA is filed under the name Anas platyrhynchos platyrhynchos (common mallard). Its description in RNAcentral is "lncRNA (ENSAPLG00000025114.1)". The record is from RNAcentral. Lineage: Eukaryota; Metazoa; Chordata; Aves; Anseriformes; Anatidae.